This 74-nucleotide transfer RNA is filed under the name marine sediment metagenome. RNAcentral describes it as "tRNA-Arg". It matches the Rfam family "tRNA". Rfam says of the family: Transfer RNA (tRNA) molecules are approximately 80 nucleotides in length. Their secondary structure includes four short double-helical elements and three loops (D, anti-codon, and T loops). The record is from RNAcentral.
GCCCUUGUAGGCCAAUUGGACAGGCCAGCGGUUUCCUAAACCGCAAGUUGGAGGUUCGAAUCCUUCCAGGGGUA